GAUGAACGCUGGCGGCGUGCCUAAUACAUGCAAGUCGAGCGAACAGACGCUGCUCUUGCUGGUCUCACGUUAGCCGCGGACGGGUGAGUAACGCGUGUAUAACCUACCUGUCAGACUGGUAUCACUACGGAACACCGGAGCUUAUCCCAUAUGAUCUCUUGAACCACAGUGGUCGAUGGUGAGAUACGGUGUUUGUGUCUCUUCUCGAUGCUUCCGCGCUGCAUUAGCUAGUUGUUAGGGUAACGGCUUACCAAGGGAACGAUGCGUAGCCGACCUGAGAGGGUGGUCGGCCACACUGGAGCGGAGACACGGUCCAGACGCCUGCGGGAGGCACCAGUAGGGUAUGUGAGGCAACGGGCGAAAGUAUGACGGAGCAGCGGGGCGUGAGUGACGAAGGUCUCCGGAUCGUAAAACUCUGUUACGAGGGAAGAACAGAUGUGUAAGGAGCUGUGCACUGCGUGACGGUAACUAAUAAGAAAGCAACGGCUAACUACGUG
Molecule: ribosomal RNA, 497 nt
Filed under: uncultured bacterium
Lineage: Bacteria
Description: partial 16S ribosomal RNA
Rfam family: Bacterial small subunit ribosomal RNA
Source: RNAcentral